This 85-nucleotide transfer RNA is filed under the name Ruminococcus bromii. RNAcentral's name for it is "tRNA-Leu". It matches the Rfam family "tRNA". Rfam says of the family: Transfer RNA (tRNA) molecules are approximately 80 nucleotides in length. Their secondary structure includes four short double-helical elements and three loops (D, anti-codon, and T loops). Further hydrogen bonds mediate the characteristic L-shaped molecular structure. tRNAs have two regions of fundamental functional importance: the anti-codon, which is responsible for specific mRNA codon recognition, and the 3' end, to which the tRNAs corresponding amino acid is attached (by aminoacyl-tRNA synthetases). tRNAs cope with the degeneracy of the genetic code in two manners: having more than one tRNA (with a specific anti-codon) for a particular amino acid; and 'wobble' base-pairing, i.e. permitting non-standard base-pairing at the 3rd anti-codon position. The record is from RNAcentral. Lineage: Bacteria; Bacillati; Bacillota; Clostridia; Eubacteriales; Oscillospiraceae. RNAcentral also lists the same sequence under 5 other names.
GCACCUGUGGCGGAACUGGCAGACGCGCUAGAUUUAGGUUCUAGUUUCGAGAGGAGUGCAGGUUCAAUUCCUGUCAGGUGCACCA